Molecule: ribosomal RNA, 169 nt
Filed under: Monosporascus cannonballus
Lineage: Eukaryota; Fungi; Ascomycota; Sordariomycetes; Xylariales
Description: 5.8S ribosomal RNA
Rfam family: 5.8S ribosomal RNA
About the family: 5.8S ribosomal RNA (5.8S rRNA) is a component of the large subunit of the eukaryotic ribosome. It is transcribed by RNA polymerase I as part of the 45S precursor that also contains 18S and 28S rRNA. Functionally, it is thought that 5.8S rRNA may be involved in ribosome translocation.
Source: RNAcentral
CAUAAUAAGUUAAAACUUUCAACAACGGAUCUCUUGGUUCUGGCAUCGAUGAAGAACGCAGCGAAAUGCGAUAAGUAAUGUGAAUUGCAGAAUUCAGUGAAUCAUCGAAUCUUUGAACGCACAUUGCGCCCAUUAGUAUUCUAAUGGGCAUGCCUGUUCGAGCGUCAUU